GAUGAAGAACGUAGCGAAAUGCGAUAAGUAGUGUGAAUUGCAGAAUUCAGUGAAUCAUCGAAUCUUUGAACGCACAUUGCGCCCCUUGGUAUUCCAUGGGGCAUGCCUGUUCGAGCGUCAUUUGUACCCUCAAGCUUUGCUUGGUGUUGGGUGUUUAUCCCGCGUUGCGCGUGGACUCGCCUUAAAGCGAUUGGCAGCCGGCAUAUUGGCCUUGGAGCGCAGCACAUUUUGCGCUUCUAGUCAUGAAUGUUGGCGUCCAUUAAGCCUAUACAUUUGCUCUUGACCUCGGAUCAGGUAGGGAUACCCGCUGAACUUAAGCAUAUCAAUAAGCGGAGGA
RNAcentral lists this unclassified non-coding RNA (337 nucleotides) under soil metagenome. RNAcentral describes it as "partial contains 5.8S ribosomal RNA, internal transcribed spacer 2, and large subunit ribosomal RNA". The stretch from base 1 to 120 matches the Rfam family "5.8S ribosomal RNA", at positions 35 to 154 of the family's 154-position model. The record is from RNAcentral.